CGGGGCAUAGCGCAGUCUGGUAGCGCAUCUGGUUUGGGACCAGAGGGUCGCAAGUUCGAAUCUUGCUGUAUUAA
RNAcentral lists this transfer RNA (74 nucleotides) under Candidatus Allofontibacter sp. PEL55. RNAcentral's name for it is "tRNA-Pro". It matches the Rfam family "tRNA". Rfam says of the family: Transfer RNA (tRNA) molecules are approximately 80 nucleotides in length. Their secondary structure includes four short double-helical elements and three loops (D, anti-codon, and T loops). The record is from RNAcentral. Lineage: Bacteria; Pseudomonadati; Pseudomonadota; Alphaproteobacteria; Candidatus Pelagibacterales; Candidatus Pelagibacteraceae.